Molecule: ribosomal RNA, 253 nt
Filed under: uncultured bacterium
Lineage: Bacteria
Description: partial 16S ribosomal RNA
Rfam family: Bacterial small subunit ribosomal RNA
Source: RNAcentral
GACGUAGGGGGCCAGCGUUGUUCGGAAUUACUGGGCGUAAAGGGUUCGUAGGCGGUGUGGCAAGUCGGGAGUGAAAUUUCUGGGCUCAACUCAGAGACUGCUUCCGAAACUGCUGUGCUGGAGUGUGGGAGAGGCGCGUGGAAUUGCAGGUGUAGCGGUGAAAUGCGUAGAUAUCUGCAGGAACACCCGUGGCGAAAGCGGCGCGCUGGACCACUACUGACGCUGAGGAACGAAAGCUAGGGGAGCAAACAGG